CGGGCCUACGGGAGGCAGCAGUGGGGGAUAUUGCACAAUGGGGGGAACCCUGAUGCAGCGACGCCGCGUGGGUGAAGGAGCGUUUCAGCGCGUAAAGCCCUAUCGGCAGGGAAGAAGAUGACGGUACCUGACCAAGAAGCCCCGGCUAACUACGUGCCAGCAGCCGCGGUAAUACGUAGGGGGCAAGCGUUAUCCGGAAUUACUGGGUGUAAAGGGAGAGUAGGCGGCAAGGUAAGCGAUAUGUGAAAGCCUUAAGCUUAACUUAAGGAUGGCAUAACGAACUAUCUAGCUAGAGUACAGGAGAG
RNAcentral lists this ribosomal RNA (305 nucleotides) under uncultured bacterium. RNAcentral describes it as "bacterial SSU rRNA". It matches the Rfam family "Bacterial small subunit ribosomal RNA", at positions 332 to 656 of the family's 1533-position model. The record is from RNAcentral.